Molecule: ribosomal RNA, 784 nt
Filed under: Tyrannosorus pini-sylvestris
Lineage: Eukaryota; Fungi; Ascomycota; Dothideomycetes; Venturiales; Venturiaceae
Description: partial large subunit ribosomal RNA
Rfam family: Eukaryotic large subunit ribosomal RNA
Source: RNAcentral
GCAACAGCUCAAAUUUGAAAUCUGGCUCACGCCCGAGUUGUAAUUUGUAGAGGAUGUUUCGGGUGAAGCCGCGGUCCAAGUCCCUUGGAACAGGACGUCAUAGAGGGUGAGAACCCCGUACCUGGCCGCCGGUGCCCCCCGCUGUGAAACUCCUUCGACGAGUCGAGUUGUUUGGGAAUGCAGCUCUAAAUUGGUGGUAAAUUCCAUCUAAAGCUAAAUACCGGCCAGAGACCGAUAGCGCACAAGUAGAGUGAUCGAAAGAUGAAAAGCACUUUGAAAAGAGAGUUAAAAAGUACGUGAAAUUGUUGAAAGGGAAGCGCUUGCGGCCAGACUUGCCUGCAGUUGCUCAGCCCGCCUUUUGGCGGGUGCACUCUUCUGCAGUCAGGCCAGCAUCGGUUUGGGCGGUCGGAUAAAGGCGUUGGGAACGUGGCCUCCCUUCGGGGAGGUGUUAUAGCCCGGCGCGCAAUGCGACCAGCCCGGACCGAGGUUCGCGCUUUGCUAGGAUGCUGGCGUAAUGGCCGUAAGCGGCCCGUCUUGAAACACGGACCAAGGAGUCUAACAUCUAUGCGAGUGUUUGGGUGUCAAACCCGUGCGCGUAAUGAAAGUGAACGGAGGUGGGAACCGCAAGGUGCACCAUCGACCGAUCCUGAUGUCUUCGGAAGGAUUUGAGUAAGAGCAUAGCUGUUGGGACCCGAAAGAUGGUGAACUAUGCGUGAAUAGGGUGAAGCCAGAGGAAACUCUGGUGGAGGCUCGCAGCGGUUCUGACGUGCAAAUCGAUCGUCAA